RNAcentral lists this ribosomal RNA (207 nucleotides) under uncultured bacterium. RNAcentral describes it as "partial 16S ribosomal RNA". It matches the Rfam family "Bacterial small subunit ribosomal RNA", at positions 568 to 774 of the family's 1533-position model. The record is from RNAcentral.
CGUGUAGGCGGUUUGGUAAGUCAGAUGUGAAAGCCCCGGGCUCAACCUGGGAAGUGCAUUUGAAACUGCCAUUCUUGAGUAUGGGAGAGGAGAGUGGAAUUCCCAGUGUAGAGGUGAAAUUCGUAGAUAUUGGGAGGAACACCCGUGGCGAAGGCGACUCUCUGGACCAAUACUGACGCUGAGACGCGAAAGCGUGGGGAGCAAACA